UACGGAGGGGGCCAGCGUUGCUCGGAAUUACUGGGCGUAAAGGGCGCGUAGGCGGCUGCACGAGUCGGAAGUGAAAUCCCUCGGCUUAACCGGGGAACGGCCUCCGAUACCGUGCGGCUCGAGUCCCGGAGAGGGUGGUGGAAUUCCCGGUGUAGCGGUGAAAUGCGUAGAUACUGGGAGGAACACCGGUGGCGAAGGCGGCCACCUGGACGGGUACUGACGCUGAGGCGCGAAAGCUAGGGCAGCAAACAGG
Molecule: ribosomal RNA, 253 nt
Filed under: uncultured Acidobacteriota bacterium
Lineage: Bacteria; Pseudomonadati; Acidobacteriota
Description: uncultured Acidobacteria bacterium partial 16S ribosomal RNA
Rfam family: Bacterial small subunit ribosomal RNA
Source: RNAcentral